CCUUAGAGUUUGAUCCUGGCUCAGAGCGAACGCUGGCGGCAGGCUUAACACAUGCAAGUCGAGCGGGCGUAGCAAUACGUCAGCGGCAGACGGGUGAGUAACGCGUGGGAACGUACCUUUUGGUUCGGAACAACACAGGGAAACUUGUGCUAAUACCGGAUAAGCCCUUACGGGGAAAGAUUUAUCGCCGAAAGAUCGGCCCGCGUCUGAUUAGCUAGUUGGUGAGGUAAUGGCUCACCAAGGCGACGAUCAGUAGCUGGUCUGAGAGGAUGAUCAGCCACAUUGGGACUGAGACACGGCCCAAACUCCUACGGGAGGCAGCAGUGGGGAAUAUUGGACAAUGGGGGCAACCCUGAUCCAGCCAUGCCGCGUGAGUGAUGAAGGCCCUAGGGUUGUAAAGCUCUUUUGUACGGGAAGAUAAUGACGGUACCGCAAGAAUAAGCCCCGGCUAACUUCGUGCCAGCAGCCGCGGUAAUACGAAGGGGGCUAGCGUUGCUCGGAAUCACUGGGCGUAAAGGGUGCGUAGGCGGGUCUUUAAGUCAGGGGUGAAAUCCUGGAGCUCAACUCCAGAACUGCCUUUGAUACUGAAGAUCUUGAGUUCGGGAGAGGUGAGUGGAACUGCGAGUGUAGAGGUGAAAUUCGUAGAUAUUCGCAAGAACACCAGUGGCGAAGGCGGCUCACUGGCCCGAUACUGACGCUGAGGCACGAAAGCGUGGGGAGCAAACAGGAUUAGAUACCCUGGUAGUCCACGCCGUAAACGAU
Molecule: ribosomal RNA, 762 nt
Filed under: uncultured bacterium
Lineage: Bacteria
Description: bacterial SSU rRNA
Rfam family: Bacterial small subunit ribosomal RNA
Source: RNAcentral